CGUCAGGAUGAACGCUGGCGGCGUGCCUAACACAUGCAAGUCGAGCGUGAACCCUUAGAAUGAAACUUCGGUCGAAUGAAGAGGGGGAAAGCGGCGGACGGGUGAGUAACGCGUAGGCAACCUGCCCCGUACAGAGGGAUAGCCUCGGGAAACCGGGAUUAAAACCUCAUAAUACCAUGGUAUCACAUGAUGCAAUGGUCAAAGAUUUAUCGGUAUGGGAUGGGCCUGCGUCUGAUUAGCUGGUUGGUGGGGUAACGGCCUACCAAGGCAACGAUCAGUAGCCGACCUGAGAGGGUAAUCGGCCACAUUGGAACUGAGACACGGUCCAAACUCCUACGGGAGGCAGCAGUGGGGAAUAUUGCACAAUGGGCGAAAGCCUGAUGCAGCAACGCCGCGUGAGUGAAGAAGGCCUUUGGGUCGUAAAGCUCUGUCGGGAAGGAAGAUAAUGACGGUACUUCCCGAGGAAGCCCCGGCUAACUACGUGCCAGCCGCUGC
This 495-nucleotide ribosomal RNA is filed under the name uncultured bacterium. RNAcentral describes it as "bacterial SSU rRNA". It matches the Rfam family "Bacterial small subunit ribosomal RNA", at positions 22 to 518 of the family's 1533-position model. The record is from RNAcentral.